CCUACGGGUGGCAGCAGUGAGGAAUAUUGGUCAAUGGACGAGAGCCUGAACCAGCCAAGUAGCGUGAAGGAUGACUGCCCUAUGGGUUGUAAACUUCUUUUAUCUGGGAAUAAAACGCGGCACGUGUCCCGUUUUGCAUGUACUCUAUGAAUAAGGCUCGGCUAACUCCGUGCCAGCAGCCGCGGUAAUACGGAGGAUGCGAGCGUUAUCCGGAUUUAUUGGGUUUAAAGGGUGGGUAGGCGGAAGGUAAAGUCAGUGGUAAAAUGGCGGGGGUCAACCCCGUCGUGCCGUUGAAACUGGCGGGCUUGAGUGGGCGAGAAGUAUGCGGAAUGCGUGGUGUAGCGGUGAAAUGCGUAGAUAUCACGAAGAACGCCGAGUGCGAAGGCAGCGUACCGGAG
Molecule: ribosomal RNA, 398 nt
Filed under: uncultured bacterium
Lineage: Bacteria
Description: partial 16S ribosomal RNA
Rfam family: Bacterial small subunit ribosomal RNA
Source: RNAcentral